Molecule: long non-coding RNA, 2255 nt
Organism: Asparagus officinalis (garden asparagus)
Lineage: Eukaryota; Viridiplantae; Streptophyta; Magnoliopsida; Asparagales; Asparagaceae
Exons: 6
Source: RefSeq, a predicted model, not a curated record
UAGGCGUCGACAUCGCCGUCCUCGCCGGCGACGCCCUCCCCCCCCUCGUCACCCGCUCCACCCUCCUCCGAGUCGUCCGCGAGACCACCCCGGUCGUCGGCUCCACCGGAGGCUAGAAAAAGGAAAUGGCUGCAAGAAACUCCUGAAGCAUCAAGUAACGACGAGCUUGUAGUCUUUGAUUCAUCAAUAAUAUCCUGGUGGGCAUGGAUCAAAAGAUAUCAUAUUCUCGAAGCUGAACUACUCAAUGGUUGGAAGGAUCAAGAUGAAAAGAGUGUACAUGGACCAAUGGCCAUGGGAUAUAAGGAUAUUAUACUGUUGAUAGUGGAAACAAUAAAGGAGAUGUUUGUCUUGCUUAUGAAGAUCCUUCUGCAGAACGUUUUGCAGGGGAUUCUACAAUAGCUAUGCUGUGAAAUUUCAUUUCAUUGUCCCGCUUGACUAUUCCAGACUAAGACAUGAGGGGCUAUCACAUCAAUGUUAUAAUGGUAGAAACUACACCUAGAGCUCCACCUGCAUAUGGUCAUAGGGGUGGUAGAGGAGGUGGUUGUGGAGAUGGUGGUGGAGGUUCAGGGCCUGAUAGAUACCAGCAUGGUGGUCACUGUUCCUGUCCAUAUUGAAGAAUGUCCGAUUAUCAUAUAAUAUGAGGGACGAUCUCUAGCAGUAACUCCUUUCAAUCUCUUGGCUUGUACUGAAAACAGGAGCCUAAGAAGCAGACGGAUGUAAUCUCCAGUAUGCUGGUUGGUUUUGAGUUUUUUCAGGUGAGUGGUGGUUUUUUCUCCUUCAAUGAAUCAUAUUAACAAACUAUUACAUUCCUUUAUGUUCAUUUACAGGGUGUAUGCUCAGGUUAAGGCGAGUCCUUUUACCUUGUCAGUCAGUCAUUCAACAUCUUAAAAAACCUGAUAACCGUGCUUUCAUGUUGAAAGAAUAUUUUCCUUUCUCAUGUUCACACUAACAAAAAAGAAAGUGACCUGUUCAAAAAAGAUAGAAGUAUACUAGGUGGAACCUCAGAAUGAAGCUUUGUGAAAAUGCUUCUAUUUUAGGAACAAUGUUCUGCUUAAUACCUGCAGGACCUGCAGAAGAGGUCCCUUGUAAGGUCUAUUAGUGCCAUCCAGUGAGAUCCCCAUCGGUUGGAGCGUUAUCCACUUACUCUUUGUUUUUUUUUUUUUGCCCCUGCAUACUAUGAGGAUAAUCGAGAGUUAUCAAGUUCUUUUCUUUUUGAUUUUCAUCUAAUAGAACUUGAAUUGUUUUAAUUGGUGUUUAUAUUUGCGCCUCUUCUAAGAGUAAAUUUUGGAUAGAUGGUGAGAAGCAUGUACUUGUACAAUCAGACGAGAUUUGCCUGUGCACAUGGAUUUUCAUCCUUAGAUAUGAAGUUUACUGAAUGUUAGACAUCCCAUUCAUGGUAACAGAGUUUCGUCAAAUGAAGGUUUCGAAAUGGUUUUCUCCAUGAAUGAUUUAUUGCCCUUAUGGUAAUGUCAAUAUCUUGAGAUUGGAUAAGAUAGAUCAUGCAGUUCGGUGGCUUGUCAUCCACACAUGCAUGUAUAAUAAAGCGCUAGAAGAUUAAAUUGGAUAGUUCGAUCGUAUUUAAGUCAUAUGUUCGCACGCAGAACUGGAAGAAUAAGUUAGAUAUGAUUGUGUAGGCUUACGUUUCUGAGGGGGUGGAAACGGAAUAUUUACUAGGCAACUUAUUGGCUAGACUGCAGAGAUUGACACUAUUUUCAAAUUGUAUUGCAUGAAAAUAUGGGUUCUUGUGUCACAUCGGUAAGCUGACUAAUACAAGAGCCAAUUUUGUCACAUAGAGGAAGAUUACAGAGAGUUUUACCCAAGGGCAAGGGGCAUUGAGGAUAUUCUCUUUUUAUUUAUAAAUAUUGUCAUCUUUUUUUUUUUUUGUGUGUGUGGGGGUUUUUGAGUUGUGUGUUGAGCUUGAGAUCUGUAAUCUCUUGAAUUUCUUCCCAUUAAAGCGUGAGAAGCUCCUGUACAAAAGAAUACAACAGUCCUUCAAGAUCAAAGAGUAAGGAGGUAGCGGCGAUUCUGAAGCAAUCUGAUGACUUAGAGAUGCUUUGUGGCCUGGGACAGCAAUGGAAUAUUUGAUCCGGAGAACUUUGUGCAGAGGUUUUGUUAAAAUUCAAGUGCAAAUGAUGAAUACAAGUUUAUGGGCAAUCUUAAUGGACGCAUUUAUGCUGAAUCCUUUUGUAAAGGGCAAUGAUAACUAUACUACAAACUCUAUGCUAAACAAAAACCUGAGUUUAUAUUUCUUUCUA